GACACACCCACAGGGAAAGCACCAUGAGAAGAUGACGGCAGAGAUCUGGGCGACGCGUCUACAAGCCAAGCGACACCAAAGGUGGCCAGCAGCCCAUGUGAAGCUGGAGGAGAGGCCUCGAAUAAAUGCUCCCUUACAGCGUUCAGGGGGAACUGACCCUGUCCACACCUUGACCUUGAACUUCUGGGCUCCAGAACUGUGAGACAGCAUGUUCUGUUGUUGAAGGAGCAGCGUGGCUAGAGGAAUUCCUGCAGCUUAGAUUUCGCUGGCACUGUUACCACUCCCAGAGAGGAGCGGCUGGAGUUCACGGCUGGUUCCUGACAAACUUCCUAAUUAAUCUGCUAAAGAUCAGAGGAGGACUAAUAGGAGCUGAAGACUGUGUGCGAGACCACCCCUCCGCCCUCUCCCUUUGUGUGUGCACGUGUGUGUGUGUGUGUGUGUGAGCGCGUGCGCGCAUGUGGUGCUGAGCUUGGCGGGAGAGAGAUGGCCUCACCAGCGACAAAGCAUUCCUGCUGCUGUUGCUGCCACCUACCUUCCCUGCUUUGGGAGGAUACAUUUUCUCCUCUUGCUUAGAAGUUUCAGGGAGUCACCCAAGCCUUCUUCUCCCAGAUACAACGGUGGAAUAAAAUAUCUUCCAGCCAACAUAUUUUUUGGAGACGGAAUCUCACUCUGUCACCUGGUUGAAGUGCAGCAGCGCGAUCAUGGCUCACUGCAACCUCUGCCUCCCGGUUUCAAGUGAUUCUCCUGCCUCCGCCUCCCGAGUAGCUGGGAUUACAGGCAUGUGCCACCCACCACGCCUGGGUAAUUUUUGUAUUUUUACUAGAGACAGGGUUUCACUAUGUGGGCUGGGCUGGUCUCAAACUCCUGACCUCUGGUGAUCUGCCCACUUCGGCCUCUCAAAGUGCUGGGAUUACAGGCAUGAGCCCCCGCACCCGGUUGCAACCAACUUUUUUGUGGAAUAUAGGAUCUUGAUGUUUGGAUGCCUGAAGGCAGAAGCUGUUGCACAUGGAAUGGAUUAAAGUUUUCCCCUCUGCAACCAAAAAUCCUUGGGGUCCCAGGAGCAAAAGAUGCUCCAUGGCACAGGACAAUUCAAGAAGGCCCGAGGUGAUAUUGAAGACUGCAGAGACAUCCAGCUCAGUUGUGUCUCCGGAGGUGUCCAGACUUUGCAGACAGACGUUGCACAUAAAGAGCUGAAAAACUGAGGAAGCUGAGCUGGAGAAGGAAGUCACUUCUACUCAGACUUGACCUGCGUCUGAUGCUAUGGGGCCUCUUAGGGUUACCUCAUGCUUCAUGCACCCCUUUCUCUGUUCUUCAGCAGAAGGCAGGGUGUAGGGAAGCGGGACUGUGCCUCCUUUCUCCCUGCCAGGCCUGACUCUCCAGGCCAAGAGACACCAUUAAGGAGUAUAAUUUGUUGAUCCAGGCUCUCCUUGCGUUUCAGUGCAGAGUGGCAUCGUUUUCUUUAUGACCUCGUAAAGUCACAGCCGAGAGGCCGAUUUGGAAAACAAACUGCCUCAGGUUGACAGAUAAUUAGAUACAGGGGACAUAUUAUAUGCCUUUGCAUAUAAAUGUGCUCCGAGGCGUGUUGGUUCAUCUGAAGUUGAGGUUAAAGGCGCGCCAGGUAUUCCUGACACAUCAGGAUAUAUAUUUUCAUACAGUCUCAGGUGCUGUGUUGGUUUUAUAGGCCUUUCAUCCUGGUGCUGACGGAUGGGGUGUGAUUGUGACCCAACUUAGAAGAAAGGGACUUCCCUUGCCCAGGGGCCUCCUGGCGUUUUUGUUUUGUGUUCUCCCUCUCCACCCCCACUUUCUCUUCUUCCUUGGGAAGGGAACUGUUCUUUGGACCUAGGAUUCUGCCGUGAGUGACUAAUGGCCUGAGUAGGAGGGACCGGGACUCAUUUUUCUUUUCUGGACUCUAAUAGGCCCAAUUAAUUCAGCUACAACAUGGGCCCUUACAAGCCUGGGACAAGCCUGGGUGGAAUUCUAUAUUGAGGGUAAGAAAAGGGAUGGAAGUAGAUGUUUUCCAGAAGGUUCUGUGGACUCUGGGGGUGACCUGUGGACAGCUGCUGCUGCCCACUACCUGGCAGUUUGGCUAUGUGAUACAUGUCAGCCUUACAAGGAGAUCCCCCUUACCCUGGAAUCUACUUUGGGGGAGCAGAACUUGAGCCUCAGGCAAAUCAGAGACGAGGGGGAAACUUUGCUUUUUCCUCCAGUGGCAGGGAGCUCUGGGCUGGGGAAAUGUCUUUUUGAACACAAAGUUCCAGUUGCAUUCAUCCACAGGAAAAUGUAAAGAGCUUAAUUUAAUGCCCUCUGGGAGUCAUUUCGAUUUAAAAGUGGUAUUAUAGCUUGUGGCUAGAAGAAUGGGCUUAACGGUUAGUCACCUUCUGUUUGGGCAUGUCAUUUAAUCUCUUUGAGGCUGUUUCUUCAUCUUAAAAUAUGAGUGAGAAGGUAGUACCCACCUUACAAUGUGGACAAGAUUAAUUUAGGGAAAACACGUAGCACAGGGCUUCACCCAUGGUAAGUAUUUCAUAAACGGUAACUAUUUUUAACAAUGACAAUUCACAGAGUUAAUCCUAAUAAAAAAUGAUUACAGAAGAGGACGCCUCCACCCACAGGAAGGAGCCAGCACGGUGGGGAGCUGUUUCACCAGGGGAGUGUUCUCAGCAGCUGCCACACGUGGAGUUGUGGAGGUAGCAAGCAGAGUUGGGGGAGGAGGGGGAGCCCUGGUUCCUGCUCUUCCAUGAUCAGUGUGCAGCCUUGAGCAUGGCACUCCCUCUCUUCCCAGCUUAGUGUCCUCAUCCGUAAAAUGAGGGGCUCUCUGAGAGUCUGCCAGGGCCGCUGUCUGAUCUGUGACAGCGUGGCAUGUGGUGUGGUAUGUAAUGCACGUUCCUGCCUGCAGGGAGGCCCUCUCCCUUCCCCCACCAGGCUUCUGGGCAGCACUUGCUGUCAUCCUUGCUUCUGGAACAGGACUGUGCUGUUUUCCAGGCCAAAUUGGAGGGCUGAGGGGGUCUAUUAAGAAGACUCUGGGGAGAUGGUGGAACAAUUCUGUGCUUGAAAUUACCUUCCUCUUUAAAUCUUGCCAUGGCCCUAUUAGAAAAGCUAAGGGGGCAGGAGGAGAGGAGCGGGCAGGGAGAGGAGAGAGAGAGAGAAGAAGGAAGAAGGAAAGGGAAAGGUAAGAAACCCCAUAGCCCGACCCUCAGCCCUGUUGAAGGAGAUUAUAUAAAUAGAGUCGCUGUCACUUUGAUGAAUUAAAUCCUCCGUUAAUUAGGACGCAUCCAUUUAAGGGUUGUCCAGCCAGAUAGUCCUUUUCCCUUCCCAGCAAGUCAUAGCUCAGGGAGGAGGCAUGAGAGGGAUCGUUUUCUGUUUCUGGCUUGAUUGCUGGUUUCUUUCUUACUAGGCUUCAUUAAUUAUCCUGGAAUGUGGUCACCCAGUUUUCUUCAACAUGGGCCAUUCUCCUUUUAGCAGGAUCUUGGCAGUGGACUGCCACGGGAGCUCUGGGGAAAAAGGACCAGUUGGACUCCAGUACCUCCUGAGAGACCACCACCCUCCAUGCCUCCAGCUCAUGCCCAGCUCUGAGUCAGACGGACUCUUCCUGUUGUACUGCGAGGUUCUGCAAACCUUGAAGGGCAAACACAGUGAGGGUCUCUGACUUGCUGUGUGGACAGCCCACUCUCUGACAGCCCAGAUCAUCUGAAGCUAUCCCUGGGCUGGGAGCUGGAAGCCAUUCUUGUGAACCACUCCUUAUACCUUGAGCGAAGCCUCUUUGGGUCCCAGAAGUCUGAAGCUCCAGCUGCCUGGCAAGACUGAGUCUAGAUGAUUUCUUGGGUACCAGUAGUUUGGCAUUUAAAAAUACUGGAUUAACUGCAGUGUAAACUUAGAUUGCAUUUCAGAUUGUAAACAAUAACCCCCGUGCUUCAUGUGAUGUUAAAUCAGAAAUGAGCUAUUAGCCAAGCUAGUCCUCUUAUGAAUGAGCCCCUAACCCUGAUCCAGGGAUCGUUGAAUGAAAAUCAUCAAAAUGAUUUAUCUUCACUUUACCUAUUGUCUCACAAGAAUCUCAUCACUCAGGGAAAAGGAGGGUGUUCUUCAGGGAACGGAGGGCAUGAGGAAGGGGGAUUUCCUUAUAUCUCAACUUUCAGAGGGAGCUGAGUUGUAAACAGAUGGAACAAGGUGUGUACGAGAAGCCUCUUAGAUUUAGUCUUUCAUAUCAAGGCUCUUGCUGAAAAUCCUGGCACAGCUGUGAAAUGAGGGGAGCUCUGACACACAGAGACACGCUCCUUGCCUCACCAACCUUCCCAUACACAGUCAUGCGCACAGAGAGCAGGUACCAAUACUGAAAAUGCCCUUCCGGAGUUUCCUCAGCUUAAACCCUUGACAGCAUUAAGUGAGGAAGGAGUUUCCUUGACCUGGGGAAGAAGAACCAACUCAUAAACAUGGAACUGUGCCCACUGCCUUUUCCUUUGCUCUGUGGAUUGGCUGUGGUUCUGCCCUGGCACUCGGAUGUCAAGUUGCUCUGGCUGUUUGGGAGGAAGCCCAGCCUGGGUCAGGUGGUCAUAAGCCAGAGGCCCUGUCCUGUCCCCAGGGUUGGCCUCCCUCUGGGGUCCAGCAUGGCCCCAGUGCUGAGGCUCCCACUGCUGGGGAAUGUGCCCUCUCCUCUCUUUGUUUCCAUACCAAGGGGAUCUGCAGGGUAGAGGGCAAAUUAUUCUUAGCAGAUUGGGGCUAUGGGUAAACCAGAAGGGAUGAGGGAGAGAGGAGAGAGGAGAGGAAAGGGAAGGAGAGGGGAGGGCAGGGGAUA
Long non-coding RNA from Homo sapiens (human), 4786 nucleotides. NCBI's taxonomy places the organism in Eukaryota, Metazoa, Chordata, Mammalia, Primates, Hominidae. The record is from Ensembl.